RNAcentral lists this ribosomal RNA (497 nucleotides) under uncultured bacterium. Its description in RNAcentral is "partial 16S ribosomal RNA". It matches the Rfam family "Bacterial small subunit ribosomal RNA", at positions 28 to 507 of the family's 1533-position model. The record is from RNAcentral.
GAUGAACGCUGGCGGCGUGCCUAAUACAUGCAAGUCGAGCGAACAGACGAUGAGCUUGCUCCUCUGACGUUAGCGGCGGACGUGUGAGUAACACGUGGAUAACCUACCUAUAAUACUGGGAUAACUUCGGGAAACCGGAGCUAAUACCGGAUAAUAUAUUUAACCGCAUGGUUCAAUAGUUAAAUACGGUUUUUCUGUCUCUUUUAGAUUGUUCCGCGCCGCAUUAUCUAGUUGGUAAGGUAACGGCUUACCAAGGCAACGAUGCGUAGCCGACGUGAGAGGGUGAUCGGCGACACGGGAACGGAGACACGGUACAGACGCCUACGGGAGGCAGAAGUAGGGAAUAUUCCGCAAUGGGGGAAAGCAUGACGGAGCAACGGCGCGUGAGUGAUGAAGGUCUUCGGAUCGUAAAACUCUGUUAUUAGGGAAGAACAAAUGUGUAAGUAACUAUGCACGUAUUGACGGUAACUAAUCAGAAAGCAACGGCUAACUACGUG